AUACGGAGGGUGCAAGCGUUGUUCGGAAUCACUGGGCGUAAAGGGCGCGCAGGCGGUUUGGUAAGUCAGAUGUGAAAGCCCAUGGCUCAACCAUGGAAGUGCAUUUGAAACUGUCAGACUUGAGUACUAGAGGGGAAAGUGGAAUUCCCGGUGUAGAGGUGAACUUCGUAGAUAUCGGGAGGAAUACCGGUGGCGAAGGCGACUUUCUGGCUAGAUACUGACGCUGAGGCGCGAAAGCGUGGGGAGCAAACAGGAUUAGAAACCCUAGUAGUCC
Molecule: ribosomal RNA, 274 nt
Filed under: uncultured bacterium
Lineage: Bacteria
Description: partial 16S ribosomal RNA
Rfam family: Bacterial small subunit ribosomal RNA
Source: RNAcentral